UCCGCGCCGCUGGUUCUCCACCUCCCCUCCCUCUCCUCACUACAGGACGCCGCCGGGCGAAGCUCGGCUCGCGUCGGCGGCGCCGGGGUCACUCUCCUGCCUCGAGCAGCGUCGGCGGCGCGGGAUGCAGCGGGCUCGGCCUGUGUCACCGACGCGAGUGUCCCUCUCGAGCGGCGGCGGUGGCGGAUUCAGCUGACGCGGGCCGUGGCGGCGGCGGCGGCGGUGGAUGCAGCGGGCUCGGCCUGCGUCGGCGGCGGCGGGUCCAUCUCCUUCCUCGAAUAGCAGCGGGCUCGCGCCCCACGAUUUAUUCGACUCCGGCGAUUUGUCAACUUCUGCUUUAGCGGCGCCGCAACGGAGCACUCUGUCGGGCCCCUUGGCGGGAUCGGCGUCCGGAUCAUCUCGCGCCUCCGCAAGGGGGAUGGGACUGCUCGGGCUCAUCUGCAAGAGCCCCUCGCCGCCAUGCCGCCUGCUGCCGCUGACACCGUCAACGGGAGCGGACGAGCAGGAGAGAUCCUGUCGAUCUGAUGGCGAAAGGGCGAGAUAACCGGCUCCUGUAUGUUUUGGAAGGUCUACCUCGAGAUAAAUUUGGACACCGGCAAGCUCCUCUCAGUAAAGCAAGUCGUGGGAUUUGGGGAUUUGCACGUUUUGGUUUUCUGGUUUGUACGUAUUGUCUAAAGACUUGGAGUCAUUCGUUGCAGGUUACACCAAGUCUCUCCUUUGUUUGAUUUUGGUUUCAGCUUUGAUCGGGAGCACCAACCGCGAGCUGGGAGAAAGCCCAAAGAACUCGAGGAAGAAGUGAAGCUCCUCAUUUUCUGUGAAGAAGUACCUUGAGACUGUCCGUGAGGAAGACACGCUGAAUAUCUUGCUUGAUUUUGUUCCCCGCCCACUGCACGCCGCUGUCGAGAACACCUCUGCUACCUCCUCCCAAUCUCCGCCACAAGAUUCUCCGUCCAGAUCCUGGGCGAGGAAUAAAAAAAUUAGUUCUUGAAGCUUCUCCAUCAUGCCGGACGGACAACUGUAUCCGGCACCGUCGCCAUCGCUUAUGGAGUUCCACACCAUUGCCCAGUUGUACGAGAGCAUGUUCAAUCUUCUCCAUUCAAGACUAUGCAAGUGGUGAACUCUGCCAAACAAGAAGAUAUGAGGAUAUGGCAUAUAUGCCCCAUAAGGUAGCUAUAUGGUAAUUCAUGUAUUGUAGUUUGGAUUACGGUCACACUUUGAAGGGUAAGUAGAUGAUGCUCAAUGACAUAACCUGCACUGAUCUUCACAGUCAUAUCAUCUGAUAGAAGUUUAUUGAAUUUCAUUUAAAUUUUGUUGUAUGUUAUCCAUGAUGUAAGUGGAGAUAGGAAGUUAAACAAAAUUAAAAAUUGCAGCACAAAGGGGAUGUCCACCAAUGAUUUGACAUGAUAAGAUGUUAGUGAAGCAUGGCAAACUAUGACAUUAGCAAAACUUAUAUUUACAUAUAUUCAUAUAUAUGAAUUUUGGAAAUGUGCAUUGCACGUAUAUCGUACUUCUCUUCACUAUUCAAAAUACUUGUACCCAUUAUGAUUUCAUUUUUUAUUAUUUACCUUGAAGGAGUAUUAUAUUAAUGUUAUUUGUUGUCCACCUUGAUCCUUCACUGCUAUUUUUCCUACUAAGCAACUUUGCAUGGAGUUAAGAUCAUUUCGUAAGAUUCUGAUAUGUUUUUCAAAUUCGCUUCCUUUAUGCAUGAACCUAUCAUCAAGAUUUAGACCUCUUAUAUGGUGCAUGUAUGCUGCUGUAAGAAGAAAUGUAAUAUUGUCCUCAUCAAUUUCUUUCUUAGCAUGCACAAUGUGUUACAACAUCAA
Long non-coding RNA from Triticum dicoccoides, 1823 nucleotides. RefSeq lists it as uncharacterized. The transcript has 4 exons. NCBI's taxonomy places the organism in Eukaryota, Viridiplantae, Streptophyta, Magnoliopsida, Poales, Poaceae. The record is from RefSeq and is a predicted model, not a curated record.